Molecule: long non-coding RNA, 839 nt
Organism: Dipodomys spectabilis (banner-tailed kangaroo rat)
Lineage: Eukaryota; Metazoa; Chordata; Mammalia; Rodentia; Heteromyidae
Exons: 4
Source: RefSeq, a predicted model, not a curated record
CUGAGUCUCAAUUUUAUCAACUAUAGGAGUGGAAUAAUCAUGUACACAGAACUUGUGGAAAAAUCUCAAUGUCUUCCAAAAUGCAGGAGAGAAAUUAACAUGAUUUAUGGACACAGAUAAGGAAGGAUCUACAGAGAAAAACCUACAUUGCUAAGUGAGUUCCUGGCAGCUAUUCAAUUCAUCCAGUGAUUAAAACAUGGCAUCAAAAGAGCAGAAGAUGUGGCUGUGAGAAGCUUGGGAAUGCAUUGUUGAAGUAGCACAUACUCCUCCAGACUAAGAGAUGAGAAGCCCAGAAGCUGUAGUCCCAGGCUUGCUUCUCUUUGAUUUAUUAGUCUUUAACCUGAUUCUGGGUCCCCUGAGGAUGAAGCCCUAUUCUAAAGGAAAAAGGAGACCUGUUUGCUUCCUGAUGGGUCUUGUGUGAUGAAGCCAAGUAAGUCCUGUCUAUUUUCAGAUUCCAGAGAUGCCUGGUAAGAAUUCAAUAGGCAUCUGAAGAGCUUUGAAUGAGCACACAGAUGAAAGAUCCCCCCUGGCCUUUGGCCACACACCCUGUUUACUUUCCAGAGACAAUGGGGGGUUUGAAGUGUGCUAAAGUAACAUCUGUGUGGUCCAAGACUGGAACUCAAAUUUAGUACCUGACACUUUGGCUCAUUGGUUAGUGCUCUACCAACUGAGCCAUGCCUUCAACCCCUAUGCCCACUGUUCUAAGAGUAGGAUAGACAGAAAUCCUAAAACCAAGCCAAGUAUGACAAUGGAUAGAAGCUUGGCUCACAUGGGACUGAGCAAAGGCAAGGAUAAAAUGGCUGAGUGAGAGCAGCCAUUGCCAAACAUGACGUUUGUGU